AACUUAUCAAGAAAGGUGGAGGGUUCUGGCCCCGUGAAACCUUGGCAACCGGAAGUUUCACGGUGCCAAAUCCAGCAGGUAACACUGACAGAUAAGGC
This 98-nucleotide non-coding RNA is filed under the name Listeria monocytogenes. Its description in RNAcentral is "SAM". It matches the Rfam family "SAM riboswitch aptamer (S box leader)". From Rfam's summary of the family: The SAM riboswitch is found upstream of a number of genes which code for proteins involved in methionine or cysteine biosynthesis in Gram-positive bacteria. The SAM riboswitch acts at the level of transcription termination control. Lineage: Bacteria; Bacillati; Bacillota; Bacilli; Caryophanales; Listeriaceae. RNAcentral also lists the same sequence under 2 other names. The record is from RNAcentral.